This 819-nucleotide long non-coding RNA is filed under the name Malus domestica (apple). RNAcentral's name for it is "long non-coding RNA (MDOM_LNC013466)". The record is from RNAcentral. Lineage: Eukaryota; Viridiplantae; Streptophyta; Magnoliopsida; Rosales; Rosaceae.
AUGAUUGGCUUCUGAUGUCGACACGUGUCGCGUUGGAAUUGGCCUCCUGGUUGGACGGAAACUCUUCUAGGUCCUUGACGGUAUAACGUUGACCGGUGCUUAGUAGUUUCGGGAUUGGUCAAGUAUGGUACAAACAAUAGUUAUGAUUUAUUUUAUAUAAAAAGUUGAAAUUGUGAGUAUAAUAUUGUUAUUUUUUUUAAGUACAUCGAUAUUUUUACACUAAGUAUAACAUUGUUAACAUACACACACAAUCUAAUCUAGGUCUUGUCCUUAUAUUAAAGGCAUGUUGGCUUAACAAAAAUGAAAAAAAAUGAAGGAAUCAAAGAAUUUAAAAAUAAGGAAAAAAGGAAAGAAGAUUGGAUUAACUACUCUCCUCUAGUUGAUUUGCUUCCUUGUUUUUAGGUAUUUGAUUACGGAUUUCAAACGAAAACUUAAGAUAAAGUUCUCUCGUAUCUUGAUUCUGAUACUCACAUUUUCGUGACGCAGUAACUCAAUAAUCAAAAUAAUUCUAAUUUCGAUUCCUUAUAAGUAAGUAGUGACACACCCUGACCUGGAAUUUUCACGCUUACACCCGAGUUCAAGACAUGUUAACCAACACCUAGAAGACAACGAAGCCAUAAAACAUAGUUGAUGUGGAAAAUGUGAACAAAUUAAAACUUGAAAUGAAUAAAAAAAAGUGUGCAAUGUGAGCAUAUUGGAACCCCUUAUUACAGAACCACACUGUCAGAGCAUGGUGUAGUAAAGUAAAAGCAUUCAUAUCCUCGAUAUGAUGGGUAAUUUAAAUCAUUUAAAGUAAUUAUAGUAUAGUUUGUGGGGAUG